CCUACGGGAGGCAGCAGUGGGGAAUUUUGGACAAUGGGCGAAAGCCUGAUCCAGCAAUGCCGCGUGAGUGAAGAAGGCCUUCGGGUUGUAAAGCUCUUUUGUCAGGGAAGAAACGGUGGGUUCUAAUACAGCCUGCUAAUGACGGUACCUGAAGAAUAAGCACCGGCUAACUACGUGCCAGCAGCCGCGGUAAUACGUAGGGUGCAAGCGUUAAUCGGAAUUACUGGGCGUAAAGCGUGCGCAGGCGGUUUUGUAAGUCUGUCGUGAAAUCCCCGGGCUCAACCUGGGAAUGGCGAUGGAGACUGCAAGGCUAGAGUUUGGCAGAGGGGGGUAGAAUUCCACGUGUAGCAGUGAAAUGCGUAGAUAUGUGGAGGAACACCGAUGGCGAAGGCAGCCCCCUGGGUCAAGACUGACGCUCAUGCACGAAAGCGUGGGGAGCAAACAGGAUUAGAUACCCUGGUAGUCCACGCCCUAAACGAUGUCUACUAGUUGUCGGGUCUUAAUUGACUUGGUAACGCAGCUAACGCGUGAAGUAGACCGCCUGGGGAUGCGGUCGCAAGAUUAAAACUUAAGGAAUUGACGG
RNAcentral lists this ribosomal RNA (583 nucleotides) under uncultured bacterium. RNAcentral's name for it is "bacterial SSU rRNA". It matches the Rfam family "Bacterial small subunit ribosomal RNA", at positions 338 to 916 of the family's 1533-position model. The record is from RNAcentral.